Molecule: long non-coding RNA, 553 nt
Organism: Magnolia sinica
Lineage: Eukaryota; Viridiplantae; Streptophyta; Magnoliopsida; Magnoliales; Magnoliaceae
Exons: 3
Source: RefSeq, a predicted model, not a curated record
UUUUUUGCAAAACACACCCAUUCCCUUCUCUCUCCCUCGUGAGAAAACCAAUUUCCAGCCCCCAACUCCCUGUCUCAACCCCUCAAUCUCCCUGCUGCUCUCAAGUGCCCUUCUUUCUCCCUCUUGAAAAAACCCAUUUCCAACCCCAUCUCCCUACUGUUCUCUCCCUACCUCAGCCCCUCUAUCUCUCUCCCUCUCUCUCAAGUGGCAACGGAAACCCCCCUCUCCCUUCCAAUGUCUCUCUCCAACAUAAGUGGCCAUGAAAGCAAUGGACCGCAAGCACGCAUGGUACCCUCAGUUUUUUUGGUUGCAGUUUGGGAACAGUUUGGAUGCAGAUUGAUUGGCUGGUAUCUAUUGAGUGGCAUUUUUUUUGUUAGCGUGGCUAAAGUUUGCAAUCCAGCCCGAUGAAGGAAUAGGGGUUGUUUCUGUGGUCAGCAGGAGAGGCCGACAAGAGCUCUUCAGGGAGAAGUUUGCCCUUUCGAGCCCUCUCUGCAGCUUUCUGCUUUGCUUGUUAUAUGUUAGGUAAGGCCCGACUUGUGGAGCCCUCCUGAAA